Molecule: ribosomal RNA, 569 nt
Filed under: uncultured Gammaproteobacteria bacterium
Lineage: Bacteria; Pseudomonadati; Pseudomonadota; Gammaproteobacteria
Description: bacterial SSU rRNA
Rfam family: Bacterial small subunit ribosomal RNA
Source: RNAcentral
UCGAUUUGGAGUUUGUUGCCCUGAGUGAUGGGCUCCGAAGCUAACGCGAUAAAUCGACCGCCUGGGGAGUACGGCCGCAAGGUUAAAACUCAAAUGAAUUGACGGGGGCCCGCACAAGCGGUGGAGCAUGUGGUUUAAUUCGAUGCAACGCGAAGAACCUUACCUACUCUUGACAUCCAGAGAACUUUCCAGAGAUGGAUUGGUGCCUUCGGGAACUCUGAGACAGGUGCUGCAUGGCUGUCGUCAGCUCGUGUUGUGAAAUGUUGGGUUAAGUCCCGCAACGAGCGCAACCCUUAUCCUUUGUUGCCAGCGGUUCGGCCGGGAACUCAAAGGAGACUGCCAGUGAUAAACUGGAGGAAGGUGGGGAUGACGUCAAGUCAUCAUGGCCCUUACGAGUAGGGCUACACACGUGCUACAAUGGCGUAUACAAAGAGAAGCGACCUCGCGAGAGCAAGCGGACCUCAUAAAGUACGUCGUAGUCCGGAUUGGAGUCUGCAACUCGACUCCAUGAAGUCGGAAUCGCUAGUAAUCGUAGAUCAGAAUGCUACGGUGAAUACGUUCCCGGGCCU